Molecule: ribosomal RNA, 596 nt
Filed under: Pouzarella farinosa
Lineage: Eukaryota; Fungi; Basidiomycota; Agaricomycetes; Agaricales; Entolomataceae
Description: partial small subunit ribosomal RNA
Rfam family: Bacterial small subunit ribosomal RNA
Source: RNAcentral
GAAUAUUAGUCAAUGCUCGCAAGAGUGAACUAGCUAACUGAAAUCACAGGAGCCAUAAAAAUGGCGAAUGUAAUAACGUAAGGGAAAAUAAUGAUAUUACCUUACUAUAAGUGUUGUCCAAAACUGGUGCCAGAAGACUCGGUAAGGCCAGAGACGCAAACGUUAGUCGUCUUAAUCAGGCGUAAAGGGUAUGUAGGCUGCUUUAAAAGUUUUAAUAUUAAUAGCUAUUUGUAAGUAGAAUUAAAAAAACUUAUUUAAAAAAAUAUUUUAUGAAUUAAAGCUAGGAUCAAAUUGAGGAUAAUUAAAAUAAUACUUAGUGUAGGGUUUAAAUCUGAUGAUACUAGGGGGAAUACUAACGGUGAAAACUUUUAUCUAGAAAUGAUUGACGCUGAGAAACGAAGGUGAGAAUAGGAAAUAGGAUUAGAUACCCAGAUACCUCUCACAGUAAACGAUGAAUGGUGGUUGUUAGUUUUUUAAUUUAACUGAUAACGAUGUUAACACGAUAACCAUUCCGCCUUGCGAGUACGGUUGCAAAACUGAAACCAAAAAAAUUAGUCGGUCUCGAAGCAAACGAAGUGAAGCAUGUUAUUUAAUUC